AGAGGUGCAGUUGAUAUGACUGCAACAUCUAUCACUCCAUUGAUCAUCAGAGUAGAUAUGGCCGAUUUUGAUGGUUAAAAUGGUGGCCCCUUCCUCCCUCACCACUCCAUAUGACCUCCUGAAGCUAUGUACUGUGUUGAGGAUGACCUUCUCUGAUAAAGGAGGACCAUUAUUCAGUCAAGGCUGUAUGCACUCUCUCCAAAAAUCCUCUCAGGGCUGGUAACCCCUUCCCU
This 233-nucleotide small nuclear RNA is filed under the name Nannospalax galili (Upper Galilee mountains blind mole rat). RNAcentral describes it as "7SK RNA (ENSNGAG00000002369.1)". The stretch from base 1 to 192 matches the Rfam family "7SK RNA". From Rfam's summary of the family: 7SK was discovered as an abundant small nuclear RNA in the mid-70s but a possible function has only recently been suggested. Two independent studies have found that 7SK RNA binds the CDK9/cyclin T complex (known as elongation factor P-TEFb). Lineage: Eukaryota; Metazoa; Chordata; Mammalia; Rodentia; Spalacidae. The record is from RNAcentral.